This 1278-nucleotide long non-coding RNA is filed under the name Mytilus galloprovincialis (Mediterranean mussel). Lineage: Eukaryota; Metazoa; Mollusca; Bivalvia; Mytilida; Mytilidae. The record is from RNAcentral.
CUUAGCAGGGUGAAAUUUAAAAGCGCAUAAACUAUACGAUACAAUAUGAGAAAUAUCUAAGCGACAUAUUGCGAAACAAACAUUUAUCGCAAGAACAAAAUUUGGCGGAAAAAAAAAAAUAAAAUAAUAAUAAUAAUAAUAAUCAGAACAAAAACAAUAAGUCUUUCCACAGAAAAGUGGAAAGACUUAAUAAUCAGAACAAAUACAAUAAGUAUGAAAGACUUAAUAAAUAUAAAGCAAUUGUUUUGAAAACAAUUGUUAGGCAGUCUUUCCCCUCUGAUGAAUGGAUAAUUGAUUUUUUUUAUUGAUUGAUUUGGGAAAAAGGGGGGGGGGGGGUAUUUGUUUAUUUGUUUGUUUGUUUGCUUUGGUAUGGGGUCUAUAUUAUUAUGUUACCGGAGAAGUUUCAUGUUUAGUUUGGAAAGUUUUUCUUUUAUUUUAGAUACAGCGCGCGCGCAAGAUUGAGGAGACAUCACGUGACGCGGGUUUAUAUUAAGAAAAACUUAGUCUUUUUAAUUUCUUUUUAGGUCGGGACGUUGAACAGACAACAUGUAUAGAGAUGGAAUGUACACAAUGUAAUUUCUUUUGUCAUUGUAGGAAAUUGACAUUUUGAUCACAGUUCACCAAGCAGUGCAUGUUUUGGAUUUAAUUCGAUCCGGUGUAACUUUAAAACACAUUUAAUGAUUAUUUUUUGAUAAUGUCCAUUUUUCAGCACCUGUUUGUAACACAGAUUAGUAUUUCAAUCUCGGAGCGGACAUUUUAUUGUAGGUUUUUACUGAGAUUGACGGACCUAGCAAGCGAUUUUUACGGCAUUGCCAUUUCUUUUUUUUCUAGGAAAAGUCUUGAGAGAUAUCUGCAAAAAGUUUUUUUAUGAACCUUCAGUACAUGUAUGCCCUGCUGACUGCAAAUUUUCAGGUCGAUUGGACUUGUAGUUUCAGAGAAUAUGUGGAUUUUUUUUCAGAAGAGACGUAAGAACAAUAAUAAAAUAAAAAUUUUCUUGAAUAAUUGAGAGUUUGUUCCUUCAAUAAACUGUCAUAAAUAAACAGUCAUACAUAUUGAUUGAUUGAUUAGUUGGUUGAUUGAUUGGUUGGUUGGUUGGUUGGUUGGUUUGUUGGUUGGUUGAUUAAACACGUUUGAUAGGGUCACUUAGAACAAGGGGAAAAAGACCUCAAGAGACCUUGCAUCCCGUAUUAAACGCAUGACACGGAAACAUACAUUAAGUGAUUGAUUGGUUGGUUGGUUGGUUGGUUGGUUAAACACAUUGGUUAAACAUGUUGGUUU